RNAcentral lists this ribosomal RNA (440 nucleotides) under uncultured bacterium. RNAcentral describes it as "partial 16S ribosomal RNA". It matches the Rfam family "Bacterial small subunit ribosomal RNA", at positions 338 to 795 of the family's 1533-position model. The record is from RNAcentral.
CCUACGGGAGGCAGCAGUGGGGAAUAUUGGACAAUGGGGGAAACCCUGAUCCAGCGACGCCGCGUGAGUGAAGAAGUAUUUCGGUACGUAAAGCUCUAUCAGCAGGAAAGAAAAUGACGGUACCUGACUAAGAAGCCCCGGCUAACUACGUGCCAGCAGCCGCGGUAAUACGUAGGGGGCAAGCGUUAUCCGGAUUUACUGGGUGUAAAGGGAGCGUAGACGGCAGCGCAAGUCUGGAGUGAAAUGCCGGGGCUCAACCCCGGUAGUGCUCUGGAAACUGUGAAGCUGGAGUGCAGGAGAGGUAAGCGGAAUUCCAGGUGUAGCGGUGAAAUGCGUAGAUAUCAGGAGGAACACCAGCGGCGAAGGCGGCUUACUGGACUGUAACUGACGUUGAGGCUCGAAGGCGUGGGGAGCAAACAGGAUUAGAUACCCGAGUAGUC